RNAcentral lists this long non-coding RNA (454 nucleotides) under Equus caballus (horse). RNAcentral describes it as "lncRNA (ENSECAG00000048457.1)". Lineage: Eukaryota; Metazoa; Chordata; Mammalia; Perissodactyla; Equidae. The record is from RNAcentral.
GUGAGGACAGUUCCCUUCUGUUAAUAGAGCGAAUAGUGGGCAUGGGGUAGGGCACUGGUCGAGGAGGACAGCCCAGGACCUACACACAUCCACUGUUUCCUUUGGCAAAAUGAGGUUCCUGACCCCAGCAUGGGGAAUUAUUGGAAUCGUCAAAUGGGAGAGUUCAGAGCGUUGAAAGGACUUGCUCAAGGUGGGAGCUGGUGGUGCAAAAAGGGAGCAAUCCCAGUGCAACACCUUUCACAUAGUGCCUACCACGUACCCGCCCCAGGUCCCACACGGAGGUGCAGAGAGGCGGAGGAAACUGCACAGGUAUGAAGAAACUGAGGCACAGACGACUUCAAAUAACUUACCCAAGGCCCUCAGUGAUGGAGCCAGGAUUAAAACCCAAGGGUUCUGACACUGGAGCUGACAUUCCUGACCGUGGGCUGACUUCACAGAAAGCAUGGCCUUAGAA